CAAAACAAGCAGAGGGGGCUUAGUGGUGGGGUGACUGCGUACCUUUUGUAUAAUGGGUCAGCGACUUAUAUUCUGUAGCAAGGUUAACCGAAUAGGGGAGCCGGAGGGAAACCGAGUCUUAAUUGGGCGUUAAGUUGCAGGGUAUAGACCCGAAACCCGGUGAUCUAGCCAUGGGCAGGUUGAAGGUUGGGUAACACUAACUGGAGGACCGAACCGACUAAUGUUGAAAAAUUAGCGGAUGACCUGUGGCUGGGGGUGAAAGGCCAAUCAAACCGGGAGAUAGCUGGUUCUCCCCGAAAGCUAUUUAGGUAGCGCCUCGUGAAUUCAUCUCCGGGGGUAGAGCACUGUUUCGGCUAGGGGGCCAUCCCGGCUUACCAACCCGAUGCAAACUGCGAAUACCGGAGAAUGUUAUCACGGGAGACACACGGCGGGUGCUAACGUCCGUCGUGAAGAGGGAAACAACCCAGACCGCCAGCUAAGGUCCCAAAGUCAUGGUUAAGUGGGAAACGAUGUGGGAAGGCCCAGACAGCCAGGAUGUUGGCUUAGAAGCAGCCAUCAUUUAAAGAAAGCGUAAUAGCUCACUGGUCGAGUCGGCCUGCGCGGAAGAUGUAACGGGGCUAAACCAU
Molecule: ribosomal RNA, 626 nt
Filed under: Salmonella enterica
Lineage: Bacteria; Pseudomonadati; Pseudomonadota; Gammaproteobacteria; Enterobacterales; Enterobacteriaceae
Description: partial 23S ribosomal RNA
Rfam family: Bacterial large subunit ribosomal RNA
Source: RNAcentral